This 202-nucleotide long non-coding RNA is filed under the name Gossypium raimondii (Peruvian cotton). Its description in RNAcentral is "long non-coding RNA (GRAI_LNC002005)". The record is from RNAcentral. Lineage: Eukaryota; Viridiplantae; Streptophyta; Magnoliopsida; Malvales; Malvaceae.
UCCUAUUUUAUUUUUAGGAGUUUAAUUCUAAAUUUUUCUAUUAAUUAUGCUGACAUGGAUUUUAUGAAAAAAAAUACUUACUUGGCAUUUGAUGUAUCAUUUAAAAUUUAAAUUAGAAAAGAAAAAAAAUUAACAAAAAAAUGCCAAAAAAGUAAAAAGUUUCGUAAUUUUUUUCAUUAAAAAAAAACAUCCCAAAUCUAAG